GGAUGGUGAGGGCGAUCUGGCUGUGACAUCUGUCACCCCAUUGAUUUCCAGGGUUGAUUUGGCUGAUCUGGCUGGCUAGGCAGGUGUCCCCUUCCUCCCUCAAUGCUCCAUGUGCGUCCCUCCUGAAGCUGCACACUCGGUUGAACUGGACGAGCACCCCCGAUAGAGGAAGACCGUUCCUCGGUCAAGGAUAUAUGAAUAGCUGUGCUUCCCUGCUAGAACCUCCAAACACGCUCUCAAAAGUAAGUGUUGCAGGGCGUGGUGGCACACACCUGUAAUCCCAUUACUCAGGAGGCUGAG
RNAcentral lists this small nuclear RNA (300 nucleotides) under Chinchilla lanigera (long-tailed chinchilla). RNAcentral's name for it is "7SK RNA (ENSCLAG00000021631.1)". It matches the Rfam family "7SK RNA". Rfam says of the family: 7SK was discovered as an abundant small nuclear RNA in the mid-70s but a possible function has only recently been suggested. Two independent studies have found that 7SK RNA binds the CDK9/cyclin T complex (known as elongation factor P-TEFb). Lineage: Eukaryota; Metazoa; Chordata; Mammalia; Rodentia; Chinchillidae. The record is from Rfam by way of RNAcentral.